UAGGGAAUCUUCGGCAAUGGACGGAAGUCUGACCGAGCAACGCCGCGUGAGUGAAGAAGGUUUUCGGAUCGUAAAACUCUGUUGUUAGAGAAGAACAAGGAUGAGAGUAGAAUGUUCAUCCCUUGACGGUAUCUAACCAGAAAGCCACGGCUAACUACGUGCCAGCAGCCGCGGUAAUACGUAGGUGGCAAGCGUUGUCCGGAUUUAUUGGGCGUAAAGCGAGCGCAGGCGGUUUCUUAAGUCUGAUGUGAAAGCCCCCGGCUCAACCGGGGAGGGUCAUUGGAAACUGGGAAACUUGAGUGCAGAAGAGGAGAGUGGAAUUCCAUGUGUAGCGGUGAAAUGCGUAGAUAUAUGGAGGAACACCAGUGGCGAAGGCGGCUCUCUGGUCUGUAACUGACGCUGAGGCUCGAAAGCGUGGGGAGCAAACAGG
Molecule: ribosomal RNA, 430 nt
Filed under: Chloroflexota bacterium
Lineage: Bacteria; Bacillati; Chloroflexota
Also listed under: 1 other name
Description: Chloroflexi bacterium partial 16S ribosomal RNA
Rfam family: Bacterial small subunit ribosomal RNA
Source: RNAcentral